GGGAACAUUAUAGUUUUUUUUAAAAAGAGC
RNAcentral lists this non-coding RNA (30 nucleotides) under Mus musculus (house mouse). The record is from RNAcentral. Lineage: Eukaryota; Metazoa; Chordata; Mammalia; Rodentia; Muridae.